AGCGAACGUUAGCGGCGGGCCUAACACAUGCAAGUCGAGCGAGAAAGGGGCUUCGGUCCCGAGUACAGCGGCGGACGGGUGAGGAACACGUAGGUAAUCUGCCCUUCAGUGGAGGACAACGGUCCGAAAGGACCGCUAAUACUGCAUACGUUCCCCGGGACUCCGGUUCCGGGGAGGAAAGCCUCGCAAGGGGCGCUGAAGGAGGUGCCUGCGUCGCAUCAGCUAGUUGGUGGGGUAACGGCCUACCAAGGCGAAGACGCGUAGCUGGUCUGAGAGGAUGAUCAGCCACACUGGGACUGAGACACGGCCCAGACUCCUACGGGAGGCAGCAGUGGGGAAUAUUGGACAAUGGGGGCAACCCUGAUCCAGCCACGCCGCGUGAGUGAUGAAGGCCUUCGGGUCGUAAAGCUCUGUGGGGAGGGACGAACGUCCGGGUGAAGAAUCCGGGGUGACGGUACCUCCUUAGCAAGCACCGGCUAACUUCGUGCCAGCCGCCGCCGUAACAC
Molecule: ribosomal RNA, 506 nt
Filed under: uncultured bacterium
Lineage: Bacteria
Description: bacterial SSU rRNA
Rfam family: Bacterial small subunit ribosomal RNA
Source: RNAcentral